AUCCUUCUUUUAAUUACCUCCAAUACCUACUUGAAAGACCUAAACCUCCCAGACCCUCUCCAUCAUCCUCCACCAUCCAUAGCUUUCGAAUUUUUUUCCCUUUCAGCUCUAGCUCACUUGGAACUGCACACGUUAGGGAUACCAUGCAGUAGAAAAAGUGCAGUUUUAGGUGUUUCUCAAUACUGUAACACUUCAGCUCCAACUCAAGUCAAACUGCAUGCA
This 222-nucleotide long non-coding RNA is filed under the name Elaeis guineensis (African oil palm). RNAcentral describes it as "long non-coding RNA (EGUI_LNC028316)". The record is from RNAcentral. Lineage: Eukaryota; Viridiplantae; Streptophyta; Magnoliopsida; Arecales; Arecaceae.